GAGGGAGUCCAAGGUCCCCACCUGGAAAGAUCACAAAGAAAUGAGAGGCUGGGUGUGGUGGCCGAGAAGCGAGGGUGCCCUUCCCCACAGCGCAGAGGACUCCUCACAUCCACCUUCAGUGAGUUGUCUUGGAUACAUUGUCAUGUUUCCACCGUGGGAAGCAGUGACCACGAGGUCGUGGCCUGCCCUCAGCUCGUUCUCAUGUGACAGCGGUGGUCCGCGGCUCACGGAAAGAGGAAGGGAGAAAGGGAGAGAGAGAAACAUCGAUGCAAGAGAGAAGUAUCCCUUCUGUGCACCGGAACGGAGAUCAGCACCUGGACCAGGAACCUGUGCACACCUGUGCCCAGGCCAGCGAUCGAACAUGCAGCCUAGGUCUGUGAUCUGACCAGGAAUCGAACUCUCAGCCCUUUGGCUUCGGGACAAUGCCCCAACCAACUGAGGGCAAGCCUGGAUAUCUCUAAUAAGUGAAGUUGUUUCUUUUCAAUAAAUUUG
Molecule: long non-coding RNA, 492 nt
Organism: Phyllostomus hastatus (greater spear-nosed bat)
Lineage: Eukaryota; Metazoa; Chordata; Mammalia; Chiroptera; Phyllostomidae
Exons: 3
Source: RefSeq, a predicted model, not a curated record